Long non-coding RNA from Oreochromis aureus, 234 nucleotides. RefSeq lists it as uncharacterized. The record is from RefSeq and is a predicted model, not a curated record. The transcript is spliced from 3 exons. NCBI's taxonomy places the organism in Eukaryota, Metazoa, Chordata, Actinopteri, Cichliformes, Cichlidae.
AGAGAUUCAUGGAUGAGGACCAUUUUAAUCAUGUUGCCACGACAAUCUGAAACAUUUACGUGGUUCUAGGUGGAGCUGUGCCCCAUACGCAUCAACUGACUGCAGCCAGAAAAAACAGGAUGCAGCAGCUAAAUCAACCCCCAGACAUUAGCUUGCUAUUUGGCUAACCACCAUCCUGAAGAUCUUCCAUCACCACGCCAACCACAAACCCACCCAACAUCAGACCAGCUGUUC